UAGAAUUUGGUGUAUUGGUAGCACGAAGAAUUUUGAGUUCUUGGGAAUAGGUUCGAUUCCUAUAGCUCUAG
Molecule: transfer RNA, 71 nt
Filed under: Tupaia montana (Mountain treeshrew)
Lineage: Eukaryota; Metazoa; Chordata; Mammalia; Scandentia; Tupaiidae
Description: tRNA-Gln
Rfam family: tRNA
About the family: Transfer RNA (tRNA) molecules are approximately 80 nucleotides in length. Their secondary structure includes four short double-helical elements and three loops (D, anti-codon, and T loops). Further hydrogen bonds mediate the characteristic L-shaped molecular structure. tRNAs have two regions of fundamental functional importance: the anti-codon, which is responsible for specific mRNA codon recognition, and the 3' end, to which the tRNAs corresponding amino acid is attached (by aminoacyl-tRNA synthetases). tRNAs cope with the degeneracy of the genetic code in two manners: having more than one tRNA (with a specific anti-codon) for a particular amino acid; and 'wobble' base-pairing, i.e. permitting non-standard base-pairing at the 3rd anti-codon position.
Source: RNAcentral